AUGAAUGAGCGGUUAUGUUCUCCAGUUACGGAUACUGAAAUUGAACAGGCUUUGUUUAGUAUGCAUCCAAACAAAUCGCCUGGCCCGGAUGGGUUUACAGCCGGAUUUUAUAUCCGACACUGGGAUCUGUUCAAAGAAUCAAUUUGCAGUGCAGUUCGAAACUUUUUGGAGGGCGGUGUAAUGCCUGAUGUGGUGAACAGCACCGUGCUUGUCCUUAUUCCUAAGGUCAAAGCACCUCAGGAGCUAAGCCAGUAUAGACCGAUAUCGCUGUGUAAUGUGUUAUAUAAAAUAGCAUCCAAGGUUUUAGCGUUUAGGCUCAGGCCCAUUUUAGAUGAAAUCAUUGCUGAAGAACAAAGUGCCUUUGUACCUGGCAGAUUAAUCACAGACAAUGUUUUGAUUGCUUACGAGAAUAUUCAUUAUUUGAAGAAGAAGAAAGGGAAAGGUUGUGCUUGUGCAGUUAAGCUCGAUAUGGCAAAAGCUUAUGAUCGAGUUGAAUGGUCAUAUCUAAGGCAAGUCAUGAUGAAAAUGGGGUUUGCAGAACAGUGGAUAGGGAGAGUUAUGGCUUGUGUGGAGACUGUGUCCUUCUCAGUACGGGUGAAUGGGCGUUAUUCUGAAUUCUUCAAGCCAACUAGGGGCAUUCGUCAGGGAGACCCCUUGUCGCCCUAUCUAUUCCUACUAUGCGCUGAAGGAUUGAGCAGUAUGUUAAAAUUCAAAGGGCCGGUUCACUUAUCCAAGGGUAUUAGAGUUGGGACCAAUGCACCGUGGAUUUCACACCUACUGUUCGCAGAUGACUGCAUGGUGUUUUCACAGGCUUCGGUUCAGGGAGCCCAAAGGCUGCAUGAAAUUCUGGAGUUGUACAGAGAGGGCUCAGGACAGUUGGUUAACAAAGCUAAAUCAGCGAUUUAUUUCAGUGGUAACUGCUCGGAUGAAGACAAGGCGAGUUUUCAUGAAGGGAUCAAUAUUCAAACUGAAGCUCUAGCUGAAAAAUAUUUGGGACUUCCCACGGCACUUGGGAGAUCUUCGGAGGAGCAAUUUGAGCAUAUAGUAACAAGGAUAAGGAAGCUUGUCAAUGGUUGGGCUCCAAAACUUAUGAACAGUGCAGCUAGGGAGGUUCUGAUCAAGUCCAUUUGCCAAGCGAUCCCAACUUAUUUGAUGAGCUGUUUUAAAUUGUCCAAGAAAACUUGCAAAAAAAUUAUUAGCAUAGUCGCUCGGUACUGGUGGGGAGGUGAUGAAGUUAAGAGGAAGAUGCAU
Molecule: ribosomal RNA, 1251 nt
Filed under: Triticum aestivum (bread wheat)
Lineage: Eukaryota; Viridiplantae; Streptophyta; Magnoliopsida; Poales; Poaceae
Description: partial small subunit ribosomal RNA
Source: RNAcentral